UUUUGGCUUGAUCUGGUUUUUUUUUCGUAUCUUCUUCUUUUGCAUUAUCAUUUCUCUUCUUCUCAGUGAAUCCCUCAAUGUGGUAGUAGUUUGCCCUGAAGUGAUCUUAAUAGUUGCAAUUUUUACAAAAUAUAUCAGUUGAAAUUUACACAAAAAAAACAUUUUACCUGAUCUGUUGUAUUUUUGUGUCAGUCGUUGAAGUGGAUUGAUUUUUACCGCUAUUUAGGGCAAUUAAAAUACACUGAUCACUAGGACUGCAGAUUUGAGAUCGAGUUCAAGGUCGAAGAGCAAGUUGGACGGAGCUCAUUGG
Molecule: long non-coding RNA, 310 nt
Filed under: Zostera marina
Lineage: Eukaryota; Viridiplantae; Streptophyta; Magnoliopsida; Alismatales; Zosteraceae
Description: long non-coding RNA (ZMAR_LNC002325)
Source: RNAcentral